Molecule: ribosomal RNA, 453 nt
Filed under: uncultured bacterium
Lineage: Bacteria
Description: bacterial SSU rRNA
Rfam family: Bacterial small subunit ribosomal RNA
Source: RNAcentral
UAAGGAAUAUUGCGCAAUGGGCGCAAGCCUGAUGCAGCAACGCCGCGUGAGGGACGACGGCCUUCGGGUUGUAAACCUCUUUUAGUAGGGAAGAAGCGAAAGUGACGGUACCUGCAGAAAAAGCACCGGCUAACUACGUGCCAGCAGCCGCGGUAAUACGUAGGGUGCAAGCGUUGUCCGGAAUUAUUGGGCGUAAAGAGCUCGUAGGCGGUUUGUCACGUCUGCUGUGAAAACCCCGAGGCUCAACCUCGGGCCUGCAGUGGGUACGGGCAGACUAGAGUGCGGUAGGGGAGAUUGGAAUUCCUGGUGUAGCGGUGGAAUGCGCAGAUAUCAGGAGGAACACCGAUGGCGAAGGCAGAUCUCUGGGCCGUAACUGACGCUGAGGAGCGAAAGCAUGGGGAGCGAACAGGAUUAGAUACCCGGGUAGUCCCUGAGCGGGCUGGCAAGGCGCAU